RNAcentral lists this ribosomal RNA (868 nucleotides) under uncultured archaeon. Its description in RNAcentral is "bacterial SSU rRNA". It matches the Rfam family "Archaeal small subunit ribosomal RNA", at positions 1 to 878 of the family's 1478-position model. The record is from RNAcentral.
CUCCGGUUGAUCCCGCCGGACCCGACUGCUAUCAGAGUGGGACUAAGCCAUGCGAGUCAACAUAGCAAUAUGUGGCAUACGGCUCAGUAACACGUAGUCAACAUGCCCAGGGGACGUGGAUAACCUCGGGAAACUGGGGAUAAACCGCGAUAGGUCAUCACUUCUGGAAUGGGUAAUGACUUAAAUCUAUAUGGCCCCUGGAUUGGACUGCGGCCGAUCAGGCUGUUGGUGAGGUAAUGGCCCACCAAACCUGUAACCGGUACGGGCUCUGAGAGGAGGAGCCCGGAGAUGGGCACUGAGACAAGGGCCCAGGCCCUAUGGGGCGCAGCAGGCGCGAAACCUCUGCAAUAGGCGAAAGCUUGACAGGGUUACUCUGAGUGAUUUCCGUUAAGGAGAUCUUUUGGCACCUCUAAAAAUGGUGCAGAAUAAGGGGUGGGCAAGUCUGGUGUCAGCCGCCGCGGUAAUACCAGCACCCCGAGUGGUCGGGACGUUUAUUGGGCCUAAAGCAUCCGUAGCCGGUUCUACAAGUCUUCCGUUAAAUCCACCUGCUUAACAGAUGGGCUGCGGAAGAUACUAUAGAGCUAGGAGGCGGGAGAGGCAAGCGGUACUCGAUGGGUAGGGGUAAAAUCCGUUGAUCCAUUGAAGACCACCAGUGGCGAAGGCGGCUUGCCAGAACGCGCUCGACGGUGAGGGAUGAAAGCUGGGGGAGCAAACCGGAUUAGAUACCCGGGUAGUCCCAGCUGUAAACGAUGCAGACUCGGUGAUGAGUUGGCUUAUUGCUAACUCAGUGCCGCAGGGAAGCCGUUAAGUUUGCCGCCUGGGGAGUACGGUCGCAAGACUGAAACUUAAAGGAAUUGGCGGGGGAGCA